AACGCACGAGACCUGCGGACCUGCGGAGGGAUCAUUAUCGUAUCUCCCCGGGGGGUCUGCGUGCCCCCGCUCCGGUUCCGGCCGUGCAGCGGGUGCCGUGGCCCCUCGGAAAAACCUCGCAAACCCCACUGUGCACCUUUCGCGGCGGAGGGCGCGGCGCGAGCCCCGCCCGAAGCUGCGGUUCUCACACACGCGGUUUUAUCGAAUGUGAAGCGGACGCUGUUCCGCCCAACAACACUU
Molecule: unclassified non-coding RNA, 240 nt
Filed under: soil metagenome
Description: partial contains 5.8S ribosomal RNA, internal transcribed spacer 2, and large subunit ribosomal RNA
Source: RNAcentral